Molecule: ribosomal RNA, 482 nt
Filed under: uncultured bacterium
Lineage: Bacteria
Description: partial 16S ribosomal RNA
Rfam family: Bacterial small subunit ribosomal RNA
Source: RNAcentral
AUUGAACGCUGGCGGCAGGCCUAACACAUGCAAGUCGAGCGGAUGAAGGGAGCUUGCUCCUGGAUUCAGCGGCGGACGGGUGAGUAAUGCCUAGGAAUCUGCCUGGUAGUGGGGGAUAACGUCCGGAAACGGGCGCUAAUACCGCAUACGUCCUGAGGGAGAAAGUGGGGGAUCUUCGGACCUCACGCUAUCAGAUGAGCCUAGGUCGGAUUAGCUAGUUGGUGGGGUAAAGGCCUACCAAGGCGACGAUCCGUAACUGGUCUGAGAGGAUGAUCAGUCACAAUGGAACGGCGACACGGUCCAGACUUCUACGGGAGGCAGCAGUGGGGAAUAUGGGACAAGGGGCGAAAGCCUGAUCCAGCCAGGCAGCGUGUGAAGAAGGUCUUCGGAUUGUAAAGCACUUUAAGUUGGGAGGAAGGGCAGUAAGUUAAUACCUUGCUGUUUUGACGGUACCAACAGAAUAAGCACCGGCUAACUUCGUG